Molecule: ribosomal RNA, 495 nt
Filed under: uncultured bacterium
Lineage: Bacteria
Description: partial 16S ribosomal RNA
Rfam family: Bacterial small subunit ribosomal RNA
Source: RNAcentral
GACGAACGCUGGCGGCGUGCCUAAUACAUGCAAGUCGAACGCUGAAGGCCGAGCUUGCUCUUCUGCAUGAGUUGCGAACGGGUGAGUAACGCGUGGGUAACCUGCCUUGUAGCGUGGGAUAACUAUUGGAAACUAUAGCUAAUACCGCAUAACAACAGCUAUUGCAUGAUAACGGUUUAAAAGGUGCAACUGCUCCACUACCACAUGGACCUGCGUUGUAUUAGCUAGUUGGGGAGGUAACGCCGCACCAAGGCGACGAUACAUAGCCGACCUGAGAAGGUGAUCGGCCACACUGGGACUGAGACACGGCCCAGACUCCUACGGGAGGCAGCAGGAGGGAAUCUUCGGCAAUGGACGGAAGUCUGACCGAGCAACGCCGCGGGAGUGAAGAAGGUUGUCGGAUCGUAAAGCUCGGUUGUAAGAGAAGAACGAGUGUGAGAGUGGAAAGUUCACACUGUGACGGUAUCUUACCAGAAAGGGACGGCUAACUACGUG